RNAcentral lists this unclassified non-coding RNA (250 nucleotides) under plant metagenome. RNAcentral describes it as "partial contains small subunit ribosomal RNA, internal transcribed spacer 1, and 5.8S ribosomal RNA". The stretch from base 205 to 250 matches the Rfam family "5.8S ribosomal RNA", at positions 1 to 46 of the family's 154-position model. The record is from RNAcentral.
GUAGGUGAACCUGCGGAAGGAUCAUUAAUGAGUUAGGGUCUUCUAGGCCCGAUCUCCAACCCUUUGUAUAACUACCAUGUUGCUUUGGCGGGCCCGUCUUUAACCGGACUGCCGGGGGUCUCUUGACCUCUGGCCAGUGCUCGUCAGUAGCCUACACAAAACUCUUUUAAUCAUGUCAAAUCUGAAACUAGUUAAAUAAACUAAAACUUUCAACAACGGAUCUCUUGGUUCCCGCAUCGAUGAAGAACGC